This 254-nucleotide long non-coding RNA is filed under the name Helianthus annuus (common sunflower). RNAcentral's name for it is "hypothetical non coding rna". The record is from RNAcentral. Lineage: Eukaryota; Viridiplantae; Streptophyta; Magnoliopsida; Asterales; Asteraceae.
GGCAAAAGUGGGUAAGCGAGUUACUGAAGAAAAGAAAAUUCGUCCUGAGAUUGAAGGAGAGAUCAAACACUCCCUUAGACGCGACAUUCACCUCCUCAACCCAGUUCGAUCGAUACUAACCCCUGCUCCCCAUAUCACACCGUUGUUACAACGCUCCUAUCCUAACCACCACCGGAGAUAUGGUCAUAUGGAUUGAUUUGCAACAAGUAGUGUUCAUCUCUUCGUCAGAUGCGGGAUUCCAGAGUCCAUAUUAA